Aegilops tauschii subsp. strangulata is the source of this 5541-nucleotide non-coding RNA. The record is from RefSeq and is a predicted model, not a curated record. Lineage: Eukaryota; Viridiplantae; Streptophyta; Magnoliopsida; Poales; Poaceae.
AGCAGCACAAAACGCUGUAUGGGCUUUGUUUGGCAAGACGUACUCAAGAUGACAAGAGCCCAUCCCCCAAUUUGCUGCGACCAGUCCAGUCCACGUUUCUUCUCUCACAUCCCUAAAAAAACCUUUCUUCUCUCACCCCUAUUCUCUCUUCUUCCUCGUCCACCGUUCAACCAUGGGCCUUCCUCUCCUUGCCGGCGGCGCCCGACUCCCAAGCUCCGCGGCCGUACAACCCCACCCAACCUACCUACAGUUCAUUCGCGCCCGAUGCCGCCGCCCAAUUUGGUGCCUCGGUUUCUCCUCCUACCCUUAAACUAACAUCCCUCCCCUGUACCAUGGCCGCUCACACCGCACCGCGCGCAGAAGCUCGCCGUCCCCGGCUCGGCGACGCCGUACAAGAGGCCGCGCCCGCUCCGUGGGGGUCAGCCACCCCGACACCGCCGCUGCUUUCCCUCUCCAUGGCGUUGGUCUCUCUUCCGUUUUUCUUCUUCUGAUGGAUCCGCGUACAGCUUAAGUAUGCAAAUACUAACAGGCCAGAUAAAAUUCGUGAUGGAUUUAGUUACUGUUAGCUAGCUCACUCGGAAGCUAUCAGUUAGCCAGUAUGUGGGACUACUGAAGAUUGCCAUCCGGCCGCCGCUGUUUUAAAAGCAUGGCACUCACAAAUCAGUUGCGUCAUACGAUUAUCCAUUCUUCUGAUGAGUUCAGUUGCAUGAUACCUGUUGUUGAGGGGCCAAAAUCGCUGUCCUGACCUUGUCAGAAUCUUUAAUACAAAAUGACCUCUCUCAGAAACUAUUUCAGGAUCUGACCCUUUCUGAAACACCAAGCCACAUGGCGUUACUGUCCAAAGUAGAAACGUCAAACUAUUCCGCGUUGCUAGCCGGCCACGUGGCAAGUCGAAACGCCGAAGUUGGCCGCGUUGCUAGAAACGCCAGACCCUUUGGCGUUGCUGCUGCACUCCAAAUCGCCAAUGCCAUAGGCGUUGCCCUCUUGGUCCAGCCACUAGCACUUCAAAACGCCAAUCUCUAAUGUUAUGUGUCAGCCACCCAGGCACAACCUUGUCCACUUAGAGCGAUCAACGAGCCUUGCCCUGAGCCACUUGGAGACAUGACCUUGACACUGCGAUCCGCCGUGUACUUUCCGGCGAGUCGCACGUACGAGACUAGCUCGAGUACUUUCCGAGCUUGCCGAAUAGUAACUGGUUGGAGUCGUAGAGGCCGAUUUUCCCUUCACGCCUAUACACGCACGUAUGAGACUACAAGCCACCGGCUUGCCUGAUCGAUACGUUUCAGCAGCACAACACAGUACAUACUCCCUUCAUUCUUAAAAGAGUGUACUUUCAACUUUAUUAGAAAGUCAAUUUUUUUUAUGUUUGACCCUAUUUAUACAAUAAUAGACCAACAAUUAUGCCAUCAAAUUAGUAGCAUUAGAUUCAUGAUAAAAUAUAUUUCCGUCAUAUACCUAUUUGGUUUCACAAGCAUUGAUAUACUUUUGCACAAACUCGGUCAAACUUUGAGAUAGUUUGACCCUCCAACAAAGUUGGAAGUACACUCUUUCAAGGACGAAGGGAGUAGGUAUAUACAGAUAAACGUAGCAGCUAACCUAGCCAACUAAGAAUCCUAUAUGGUUCCUGAUCGAUACGAGCUAGUUUCAGCAGGACACACAUAUUCUCUUGAUGCUAACGCCCCAGACUUUGGCGUUUUGAAGUGCAACAGCAAUGCCAAGAGGUCUGGCGUUUCUACCAACGCGGCCAACUUCGGCGUUUCUACUUGCCACGUGGCCGGCUAGCAACGCUGAAUAGCUUGGCGUUUCUACUUUGGCCAGUAACGCCACGAGGUUUGGCGUUUUAGAAAAAGGUCAGAUUGUGAAAUAAUUUUUAGGAAAGGUUAUUUUGUGUUGAAGAUUUCUGACAAGGUAAGAGGAGUGAUUUUGGCCUUGUUGAGGUUCUGUAUGCUCAUAUGUUCCCAUGGAGUUCAGUUACUGUCAGUUAGCUGAGUUGGAAGCAAUCAGUUAGCUUAUCUUCACUGGGUGGCACUGAAGAUUUGGAGAUAGCUAUCACUGUCGAUGAGCAGGAUAGCAUUCACAGCCUAUCUCUGCCGCACGAAUCACAAGCCAGAUAAUGCAAAGCGGUUUAUUCUGAAGAGAAAUGAGCCAUUUGGCAAAGACUUGUCAACACCCCCUUUGAUGGGCUAGAACAUCCUGCACAAGAAGGCAGGAUUGACUGACUUGCCAGGUCGCUGUGUGGCAGCAUGACCACAAGAAAGUAGUCGAAUGUGCCCAAAUAAACCACAUCAACAUACUCUGGAGUCCAGGUGCUUACUUGUCUUGCUCUUUCCCAUGUCUUCUUACAGGGGUCUAGUGCCACCAUAAAUUUGCAGCACCAAGCCAGCCAUGAAAGUGGUACAUAGAAGAUAAGGCCUCCCAGCUGAGACGAUCACGGCAUAUAUACCCAUGGAUUAAAAUCGCGGGAGAAAUGAUUUCGUGGCGGCCUCCCCCAGCAGCUAUAGCGGCCGCCAUAGCGGGCAAUAGCGGCAAAUGGCGGAAAAUUUUCUGGUGGGAGAGAUGAUUUCUGGAGGGUUUUGCCGAUUUUUUAGCCAUUUAGAGGGAUAUGUUGAGGUUUUCACCGCAACAGCCAUAGCUUAGCGGCAAGGCUCCCAGGCAGCUAUAGCGCAGCUAUCGCGGCUAUUUCGCGGGCUAUUUUAAUCUAUGUAUAUACCACUGUUAAAUCCACAGCCUGAACAGAAUUUCUAGUGAAAUUGGGAGCUGUGAAAGGUGUGGGGAUCAUGGCCAUCUUGCAAAUUACGCCACUUUGAUCACUACAAUGUUGAAUUAACUAAAAUGUUUGACAAAAGCAGUGUCCAAAACUCCAGAUCCAGUUCUGGUGAGUUUCUGGUGUUGUUUUGUUUGUCAUCUUCAUGCUGCAAUUUUGCUUAUUUAGCAUGUUCACAUAAAUUUGCAUAAGUUUGGCGUGAGUUUUCUUAGUAAAAUAUGUGAUGAUAUGAUUUAUCGGGGGCAGCUUUCAGUCGGACAUGCAAAGACUUGUUAGCACCCCCUUCGAUGGGCUAGAAUUACCUGCACGAAAAGGUAUUGACUGACUCACAAGAUCACGCUGCAGCGUAAUUUAUUGUGGUCAUGCGACCUCACUUUCACGGCGCAUCAAAACCACCACAGCCACAUCCACAGGAGUCAAGUGCAACUAUGGAACCAAACCAUUAAUAUACAGAAUCAAAGCUGGCAUGAUUUGAUAAAAAAAUCCCUACGCUGUAGACACUAUUACGCCCUCCCCCCUAAAAAAUCCACACACUUGCAAAGUUGCACUGCUGCUUGACCUGAAUUUCUCGAGCAAAGUUGUGAGUUGUGCAAGGCGUGCCGGAAGAUCAUGGGCAUCUUGCCGGUGAUCUAUGUACUACUCCCUUUGUUCAGCUCUUCAGAUGAGAUCCAUGUACAAGUGCUCAUUUCCUGUUUUUUCUUUUACUUGACUCUGUGUCUGCAGUUCAUCUCCGGUGCUCGAAUUUGUUUUUUCUUCACUUUCUGCUCUUGGUUGCAGCUUAGGCAAACAACAGAUAAAAUUGGAGAUGUAUUCAGUUACUGUUACUUAGCCCAACUAGAAGAUUUCGCGAUCAGUUGGCAUGUGGUCAUGUUUGAUUUACUCUGUGCACAAUAUUCACUUUACUAGUCUGCCCUCGGUUGCAGCUUAAGCAAACACCAGCUUAAAUUGGGGAAUGGAAUUCAGUUACUGUAGCCAUUAAUAUACAGAAUCAAUCUUGUAAAAAUCCACACACUUGCAAAGUUGCGCUGCUGCUUGACCUGAAUUUCUCAAGCAAAGUUGGGAGCUGUGCAAGGCGUGCCGCAAGAUCAUGGGCAUCUUGCCGGUGAUCUUUGUACUACUCCCUUUGUUGGUACUCAAGUCACUAGGAAAUCUAAGUGCGCUAUCAUCUGGAGUUGUAACAAGCCACAACCCCGGAGGGGAUUGGGUGCAACCAUCACAUGCCACGCUCGACGGUUAUCCCAAGAGCUGCGGCAAUGUGAGCUUCGGCUACCCCUUCGGCAUCGGAUCCAGGUGUUCCCGGGGGUCUGACUUCAACCUCACCUGCAACAACGCCUCUCAUCCGCCCAGACUAUUCUCGAGGGACAACAUCACUGAGGUGAUCCACUUUGACGACCCUUUUUUCAAUAUAAACUUCAUCAAGGCAUCCUUCUCGCAUACCAUCCCCAUGCAACCUGGUGUCAGUGUUUACAACUUGUCUUUGGUACCUCCUGGGAGGUCCUUCUCUCUCAGGGCCGCUGUUCUAAAGAUUACCGGCUGUGACCUGAAUGUAUACUCUAUCGGAGACGACGCCACCAUGUUGAUAUGCAGCACUGUGUGCCUGGAUCCAAACAUCCCAGAGAUGGUGGCUAUGCACAACUGUAAAAAUACUUCGGGGUGCUGUCGUGUUGAUGUGGAUGGUGAUGGCAGUUUUCGGUUCAAAUUUGUCUACAACCAAAGCAAAAGCAACAUUGAUGCACGCUCUAGGAAGAGCUCUCAACUGUGGGAUAGAAUCAGCAUAACUAGUGAUUGGCCGACUGGCUUUCUGCUAUUGUGACAGAUAAUUGACGAAUCCAACUGCAUUGCUGCCAAGCAAAACAUGACACACCAUGCUUGCACCGGCAAGUAUGCCGAGUGCCAUGACAGCACAGCCAAUGUCUGUGACGUCAAAGAUGCUGAGUGCGUUGAUGGAAGUCGUGGCUACAGCAUGUGCAGGACUGGCAUUAUUUCAUCACCUUUUGCAGACAUUUAGAGCUUCACAAGUAGGAUUUACCUAGCGAAGUGAACUACGAAGUUGAAGAUCAAGGUAAUUAGUUAGUCUUUUAGCUCGUCAUUAGAUUUGCGAUGUUAUUGCUUAGAAGUUAGAAAUAAUUUGAAAUGACAUAUGUUGCAUUUAUACUAUUUUUUUAGAAGAGUAGGUUGGAGAUGUUGUAUCAAUGUUAGCUGCGUCCAUUAGUAUUAAUCAUAAUUAGUACUUAUGUUGAACAUUUAGGUUGGGUUAGAGGCGGGAUUUGGACAGCAAAUAUUUGUUGGUAUUGUAGAUCAACAUUAGGCUUUUAAAAUGCAUAAGUUUAGUUUGACAUGCGAGAAGAUCUUAAUAUGGUAAUUAAGAAAAAGUUUGUAAUGCAAUUGUUCAUUGCAUGUGGUAUGUUUAUUAAUAAGUCUAUAGUUAGGAAAUCGUAGGACUACUUUGUUAUGUCGCAAUAAUCUAAAUUUUCUAUGUUAAGAUUACAUGCUAAUGUACUUAAUGAUGUAUGUAAUUAGGUAAAAUAAUUCAUCUUAGUAGCAAACAAGGAGGAGAUGAUGUGAUUGAAGAAUUUGUGUUUCGAUCUUCGCUGUCCUUUUUGAGGUGAUGACCACAUACAUGUUAUGGCUGAAGUGCCAGUGCUUUUGCAGCACUAGUAGAAAACAGGGCUUUGGUUCGGCCAGAAAAGAGCAUUAAUCCCGGUUGCAUUACGAACCGGGACUAAUGUGAGCAUUAGUCCCGGUUCGAGCGGCUAGGGCACCGUACGGGCAUUAGU